GUGCUCACUUCGGCAGCACAUAUAUUAAA
Molecule: small nuclear RNA, 29 nt
Filed under: Cervus elaphus hippelaphus
Lineage: Eukaryota; Metazoa; Chordata; Mammalia; Artiodactyla; Cervidae
Source: RNAcentral